Long non-coding RNA from Pecten maximus, 1247 nucleotides. RefSeq lists it as uncharacterized. The transcript has 3 exons. The record is from RefSeq and is a predicted model, not a curated record. NCBI's taxonomy places the organism in Eukaryota, Metazoa, Mollusca, Bivalvia, Pectinida, Pectinidae.
GGUACAUCACUUCACUACAAUCAGUUGUCUCUACAAUACACACCUCCAGUAUAACGAUGGCCUGUGGCAGAGUUCUCUUAGCUUCAUUGAUGGUCUUUAUUCUCAUCUGCAGUUCAGUUGACGGCUACCCCUACCUGGUGUUGAGGAAUCAAUACCUUAUGCGUGGCUGUCCCUUAAUAGACGACUGUGAAGGGGAGUACAUCACCUCCUCGUGCAGAUUUCACCCAAUUAUCACGUUAGAAGAUGGAACCAUGUGUCGAGAUUGUCCUAUCAAUGUAUGCUCCGAUUAACUUCCUCUUCAACGCACGUCUUCUGAAGGACGGAUUGAAAUCUCGGAAGGAUAUCUAAAAGUCGCCGAAUUGUGUUGAUGUUGGAGACAGGGAUAUACUAAAACAGUACCUCACGUGUCAUGAACGUGCAGGCACAUGUGGAUCGAAGAAUUCCGUACAACGUCUGUAUGCUUAUUGCAUGCCCUGUUGAUUCUACAAACCGCUUUUCUUUAUGAUAAUGAAUUCAAAAACGCAUUUAUACAUAAUUUUUUUUAAAAAUCAUCGUCAUUGCUGAAUGUCUUUUUAAGCAUGUUUUUUAAUUCUAAGUGCGCAUAUAUAUCAUCUAUAUGGCGUUUUAGGCCUAGUCAAAAGUGUUCAACAAUAUAACACAUUGAUAUGUAGUAUUAACUUCGUGUUUUAUAGAGUUGCUUUAAGGCAAUAGUUACUAUGAUUCAGAUGUUCAUCAUCUUAUAUCAAAUCUUCAAAGUUUUAUGUGAUGCAAGUCAUCAAUAUUUGAAGAUUGUCAUCAAUCUAUGUGAUGCAGGUCAUCAAUAUGUGAAGAUUGUCAUCAAUAUAUGUGAUGCAGAUCAUCAAUAUAUGUGAUGUUUUUCAUAAAUUUAUGUUAUACGGUCAUCAAUUUUUGUGAUGCGGGUCAUCAAUAUGUGAAGAUUGUCAUCAAUAUAUGUGAUACAGAUCAUCAAUAUAUGUGAUAUUUUUCAUCAAUUUUUGUGAUGCGGGUCAUCAAUAUGUGAAGAUUGUCAUCAAUAUAUGUGAUGCAGAUCAUCAAUAUACAAUGUAUGUGAUGUUUUUCAUAAAUUUAUGUUAUAUCGGUCAUCAAUUUUUGUGAUGCGGGUCAUCAAUAUGUGUUGCAGGCCAUCACCUACAUUAUGUCUUCUUUUUUUUAAUAUUUCUAUGUAUUGCUGGGCAUUACAGUUUUAUAUAUACUUUCAAUACUUUGUAAUAAAAUUGUAAAAUACA